RNAcentral lists this ribosomal RNA (413 nucleotides) under Stenotrophomonas sp. R9.23. RNAcentral describes it as "bacterial SSU rRNA". It matches the Rfam family "Bacterial small subunit ribosomal RNA", at positions 100 to 509 of the family's 1533-position model. The record is from RNAcentral. Lineage: Bacteria; Pseudomonadati; Pseudomonadota; Gammaproteobacteria; Lysobacterales; Lysobacteraceae.
GGACGGGUGAGGAAUACAUCGGAAUCUACCUUUUCGUGGGGGAUAACGUAGGGAAACUUACGCUAAUACCGCAUACGACCUUCGGGUGAAAGCAGGGGACCUUCGGGCCUUGCGCGGAUAGAUGAGCCGAUGUCGGAUUAGCUAGUUGGCGGGGUAAAGGCCCACCAAGGCGACGAUCCGUAGCUGGUCUGAGAGGAUGAUCAGCCACACUGGAACUGAGACACGGUCCAGACUCCUACGGGAGGCAGCAGUGGGGAAUAUUGGACAAUGGGCGCAAGCCUGAUCCAGCCAUACCGCGUGGGUGAAGAAGGCCUUCGGGUUGUAAAGCCCUUUUGUUGGGAAAGAAAAGCAGUCGAUUAAUACUCGGUUGUUCUGACGGUACCCAAAGAAUAAGCACCGGCUAACUUCGUGCC